This 71-nucleotide transfer RNA is filed under the name Periweissella cryptocerci. It matches the Rfam family "tRNA". Rfam says of the family: Transfer RNA (tRNA) molecules are approximately 80 nucleotides in length. Their secondary structure includes four short double-helical elements and three loops (D, anti-codon, and T loops). The record is from Rfam by way of RNAcentral. Lineage: Bacteria; Bacillati; Bacillota; Bacilli; Lactobacillales; Lactobacillaceae.
GUUCAUGUAGCUCAACAGUAGAGCAUAUUACUUUUAGUGAUAGGGUGCAGGUUCAAAUCCUGCUGUGAACA